GGCGUGUUCGUCUAGUGGUCUAGGACGCUGGCCUCUCACGCCGGUAACAUGGGUUCGAGUCCCAUACACGCUA
Molecule: transfer RNA, 73 nt
Filed under: Fibrobacter sp.
Lineage: Bacteria; Pseudomonadati; Fibrobacterota; Fibrobacteria; Fibrobacterales; Fibrobacteraceae
Also listed under: 1 other name
Description: tRNA-Glu
Rfam family: tRNA
About the family: Transfer RNA (tRNA) molecules are approximately 80 nucleotides in length. Their secondary structure includes four short double-helical elements and three loops (D, anti-codon, and T loops).
Source: RNAcentral